Molecule: ribosomal RNA, 253 nt
Filed under: uncultured bacterium
Lineage: Bacteria
Description: partial 16S ribosomal RNA
Rfam family: Bacterial small subunit ribosomal RNA
Source: RNAcentral
UACGUAGGGGGCGAGCGUUGUCCGGAUUUAUUGGGCGUAAAGCGCGUGUAGGCGGCCAGGUAGGUCUGCUGUGAAAACUCGAGGCUCAACCUCGAGACGUCGGCGGAAACCAUCUGGCUAGAGUCCGGAAGAGGAGAGUGGAAUUCCUGGUGUAGCGGUGAAAUGCGCAGAUAUCAGGAAGAACACCCGUGGCGAAGGCGGCUCGCUGGGACGGUACUGACGCUGAGACGCGAAAGCGUGGGGAGCGAACAGG